UGGCCAGUCUCAGAGUCCAGCAGGAUGA
This 28-nucleotide non-coding RNA is filed under the name Mus musculus (house mouse). Lineage: Eukaryota; Metazoa; Chordata; Mammalia; Rodentia; Muridae. The record is from RNAcentral.